CUUUGGUAUCAGGAUGAUGCUGGCUGCAUAAAAUGAGUUAGGGAGGAUUCCCUCUUUUUUUUAUUGGAACAGUUUCAGAAGGACUGUUAACAGCUCCUCUCUGUACCUCUGGUAGAAUUCGGCUGUGAAUCCGUCUGGUCCGGGACAUUUUUCGAUUGGUAGGCUAUUAAUUAUGGCCUCAAUUUCAGAGCCUGUUAUUGGUCUAUUAAGAGAUUCAUCUUCUUCCUGGUUUAGUCUUGGGAGAGUGUAUCUGUCCAGGUUUUCUAGCCAUGAAGAAAUAAAGAUAGUAGCAAUAUUUGUGGUAGCCAGAAUGGUACUCCAAAGAAGUCCAUGGCCAACUCCUGGAAUUGGAAUAUGUAAGUUUACAGAUAUAAUUAAGGUUACUAACCUUAAAAUAGAGAGAUUUUCCUGUAUUAUCUGGACGGCCAAAUCUAAUCACAGGAGUCCUUAAAAGCAGAGAAUGCCCUCCAGCUGGAGGCAAGAGGAAGGUGGAAUAAGAAGUCACAGAGGUUCGAAUCAGGAGAGAGACUCAACCUGCCAUGUUUAGAACUCCUUGGAAAGCAUGAAAAGAAUGCAGGUGGCUUCUAGGAGCAAAUACCAGUCCUUGGCUGACAACCAGUAAGGUAACAAAGACCUGAGUUCUACAACUGCAAGAAACUGAAUUCAAGAAUUAAACUGAAUGAGCUUGGAAGCAGAUUUCUCCUCAGAGGUGCCAAUAAGGAAUACUGCUCUGCCAACACCUGGAGUUAGGCUUUGUUAAACUUUAGCAAAAGAUCCAGUCAUGCCCACUCAGGCAUCUGACCAACAGAAAUUGUGGUACAAUAAAUU
This 828-nucleotide long non-coding RNA is filed under the name Homo sapiens (human). RNAcentral describes it as "HSALNT0302431". Lineage: Eukaryota; Metazoa; Chordata; Mammalia; Primates; Hominidae. The record is from RNAcentral.